Long non-coding RNA from Esox lucius (northern pike), 1149 nucleotides. NCBI's taxonomy places the organism in Eukaryota, Metazoa, Chordata, Actinopteri, Esociformes, Esocidae. The record is from Ensembl.
GUUUUAAACCAAUUAUUGUUUCAGUUAGAAGUAACAGUUUGAAAGCGAUAGCACUUGGCCCUCAUACAAAGAAAAACUAUUUUGCUUGAGUUUGGGUUCUUUAUCUUUUUGUUGGCUGUAUACAUCCUAUUCUUUUGUGAAGAUUUUUCUCUUUUGUUAAAUUUUCCCCAUCAGCGGAGUAUUCCGGUAAUUUGGCUGCUGUUGUCAAACGUCUGGCAUCUUUACAUGAAGUCAAAGUUACGUGUCACACAAGCAUCCAAAGACAUCCACGGUCUUGGUUUUUGGCAUUCGGCCCUUAACCGGUCUUUGAAUUCAGUCACAAAAAGUCCUCAUUUCAAGAUUGAGUUCAUAUGAAAUGGUUCUAGGUUCCCACUGUUCAUAAAGGAUACGCUGGAAAUGAAUAAAUCACAGCGACUCUUUGUGUCGUAUUCCUUUCUCCUGGUCUUUGCGUCGCAUAGCUCCUUCUUGUUUAGUCCAGAUUAAUUCUGCAUCCCGUAACAAAAUGAGGCCAAAAUGAAGAAAGAAGGAAAAAACAUAAAUCUAUGGUCUAUACAAGUCCUGUAAUGUUUGAGGGCAAGGAUAUACCACACAUAAUGAUUAUGGGUUGGUGGUACUUAGUCAGUAAUGGCUAUGUCAUUGCACUUUGGCCAGUUGCUAAGCAAAUCCCUGCCUGUCAAUGGAGCAUCCGCAUUUUGGUAUUUUAGGCAGUUGGGCAAACUAACAAUUCUCCUUGUUUGGGGGAUGGGAGGAUAGAGCUUUUGUUUCAGAAAGGAAGAUUACUUUUGUUGCCUUAGUUGUCCACACCUGCAUGAGGAAGCGGUGUUCACUUUCAGAACAGGUUCCAUUUUGUUUUCAAGAAAUUGUAGCAGAGGCUGAGACCAGUCUCAUGACAAAGCUAGCUGUGUGUGGGUAGCCGGGAAAAUUACUAAUAUGGCAGAUUAGACAAAAAAAGGGGGGUUUCAAGAGGGGAGCAGAAAGAAGUAACGUUUUUACAAAAGGAGAAAGUACGAUUUACAAACACCAGGAACGUUGCAAUGAACCUUUUUGUUGCAGUUCAGUAUUUGAUUUGACAUAAGAGAGCAUUGAAGGGCAAAUUAUACAAAUACAUAUAAUAUAUAUAUUUGUUUAUUUACAGGUAUUAUAUUCUGG